RNAcentral lists this long non-coding RNA (348 nucleotides) under Volvox carteri. RNAcentral's name for it is "long non-coding RNA (VCAR_LNC002323)". The record is from RNAcentral. Lineage: Eukaryota; Viridiplantae; Chlorophyta; Chlorophyceae; Chlamydomonadales; Volvocaceae.
CGACUCUNGNUCAUAUCCUUACCACCAUCCUUGCGCCUGUCCUAUUCCUUGCGAUUCUCCUGCUCGUGUCCUUGGAAUGUAAAAUGGCAAGGCAUAAUGUCAGUGUAUGCACCUGCAUGAUGGCCACUUACUGCCGGUGCCGUCUAGUCCCCCUUUUCCUGCUUUCCCCUGCUUGCCUGCGAAUGAAUGGUGCGCCAUUAUAGAGGAAGAAAGACAGAUUCUUGUUAUGAAGAUGCUAAUUCAUUAGGCUUUACCUUACACUGUCGUCAUUGGAGGAUCAGCGUGAGUAUAAGAAAUGCAUACGCGCUAAACAACAAAUUCAAGAUAAUCUUAUUAGUGCAAUGCGCG